This 563-nucleotide long non-coding RNA is filed under the name Nicotiana benthamiana. RNAcentral's name for it is "long non-coding RNA (NBEN_LNC025645)". The record is from RNAcentral. Lineage: Eukaryota; Viridiplantae; Streptophyta; Magnoliopsida; Solanales; Solanaceae.
AAGACACCAUGGCUUCUUCAUCUUCCAUCAUGAAAGACAACCCUAGCUGAACCCUAGAACUAGAUACUAGCCAUCUCGCCGCCAGCCGUCUUUAACACCCAACCACCGGCGACCCUACUGGUUCCAUCAACUUCUCUAGCGGUCCGGCGAGCUCGCCGGAAAUCUAGCACAAACAAAUGAACAAUAGUAGCAACAUAACCACUAGCGGACCACAACGACCACCCUUCUUCAAGCAGACCCCGACCUCUUUCCCGUUUCCGUCUCGCUCCCAUUGCUGGAAAACUCACCGGAAACGAGAGAGCAAAAGCUCCAGUAUCCAUCGGGCAGAAUUUAAAAAAAAAAGAGUGUAUUGAGAGUUCCGUCGAGUCUGAUUCGUGUUCGUGCCGAUUCGAAGUUCGUCUAUAGUUCAUCGCGUUUUGAGUUCAACGCUGCCUUACGGUUGAUUUUCAGAUUUGUUUGCGGUUGAUUCCUUCUUUCUUCUAUUCUAUUAUGCUUAAUAUUAUGAUUCUAUCAUUCCCUUAGUCUAUUUUUGCCUUGUUCCCUUGGUGUUAUGCAUAUGAUUG